UUCAAAAGGGCCACAAUUCCCGGGACACUUGCUAAGGGCUCGCUGGAGACGUACCAAGAAUAAAUAGCGAGCAGACAGUAAGCUCUCAUCCCAGGAACAGCUUUCAGUCAUCUCUCCCUGAACCACUGUUGCAUCAGGACCUACAGAAGUAAGUUCUGUAUGUGACAGAUCACUUCUACUAGAAGAACUGUUUUACAGCAGAGCUGGAAAAGACUAAAAAUCAUGAACAAAUUAAAAGAUCUCACAUUACCUACAUAUACAAGGAUUUAAGCAGUAUGAGCAGCAUCUAGGAUUCAGCUUCUGCCAGUUCCUAAGAAGCAAAUCAAGUUCUAGUCCAUUUGAAAUUCUCUCAUUAUUAAAUAUAUAUAUACUUAUAUAUAGAUCUCUCUCUCUCUCUCCCUCUCUCAGGGCUUUUGUAAAGCAGAUUACUGUAUUACCAAUCAUUUCA
Long non-coding RNA from Dromaius novaehollandiae (emu), 448 nucleotides. RefSeq lists it as uncharacterized. The transcript is spliced from 3 exons. The record is from RefSeq and is a predicted model, not a curated record. NCBI's taxonomy places the organism in Eukaryota, Metazoa, Chordata, Aves, Casuariiformes, Dromaiidae.